Molecule: regulatory RNA element, 122 nt
Organism: Sodalis glossinidius str. 'morsitans'
Lineage: Bacteria; Pseudomonadati; Pseudomonadota; Gammaproteobacteria; Enterobacterales; Bruguierivoracaceae
Rfam family: Enterobacteria greA leader
Source: Rfam
GUCACACUACGGUGCAAACAGGGAUAAGUAAACGAUGACCCACACCGAACUCUGCGGUAAAAUACGUAUCAAAAUGCAAAACUGAGGCUGGCCUGGGAAGCGAUUCCGGGGUCGCUUCCUUU